GGGGUGCUCAGUGGUAGAGUGUGUGCUUAGCAUGUACAGGUCCUGGGUUCAACCCCCAGUACUCCA
Molecule: transfer RNA, 66 nt
Filed under: Camelus bactrianus (Bactrian camel)
Lineage: Eukaryota; Metazoa; Chordata; Mammalia; Artiodactyla; Camelidae
Also listed under: 2 other names
Rfam family: tRNA
About the family: Transfer RNA (tRNA) molecules are approximately 80 nucleotides in length. Their secondary structure includes four short double-helical elements and three loops (D, anti-codon, and T loops). Further hydrogen bonds mediate the characteristic L-shaped molecular structure. tRNAs have two regions of fundamental functional importance: the anti-codon, which is responsible for specific mRNA codon recognition, and the 3' end, to which the tRNAs corresponding amino acid is attached (by aminoacyl-tRNA synthetases). tRNAs cope with the degeneracy of the genetic code in two manners: having more than one tRNA (with a specific anti-codon) for a particular amino acid; and 'wobble' base-pairing, i.e. permitting non-standard base-pairing at the 3rd anti-codon position.
Source: Rfam by way of RNAcentral